This 159-nucleotide ribosomal RNA is filed under the name Fuerstiella sp. RNAcentral describes it as "partial 16S ribosomal RNA". It matches the Rfam family "Bacterial small subunit ribosomal RNA", at positions 1382 to 1533 of the family's 1533-position model. The record is from RNAcentral. Lineage: Bacteria; Pseudomonadati; Planctomycetota; Planctomycetia; Planctomycetales; Planctomycetaceae.
UGUACACACUGCCCGUCAAGCCACGAAAGUGGGGGGGGCUUAAAGUCACCGAGCUAACCGUAAGGAGGCAGGUGCCUAGAGUCAACUCCUCGAUUGGCACUAAGUCGUAACAAGGUCGCCGUAGGGGAACCUGCGGCUGGAUCACCUCCUUUCUACGGA